ACGGAAGCAGCAGUGGGGAAUAUUGGACAAUGGGGGAAACCCUGAUCCAGCGACGCCGCGUGAGUGAAGAGGUAUUUCGGUAUGUAAAGCUCUAUCAGCAGGGAAGAUAAUGACGGUACCUGACUAAGAAGCACCGGCUAACUACGUGCCCGCAGCCGCGGUAAUACGUAGGGGGCAAGAGUUAUCCGGAUUUACUGGGUGUAAAGGGAGCGUAGACGUCAUGGUAAGUCUGAUGUGAAAACCCAGGGCUCAACCCUGGGACUGCAUUGGAAACUAUCAAGCUAGAGUGCAGGAGAGGUAAGUGGAAUUCCUAGUGUAGCGGUGAAAUGCGUAGAUAUUAGGAGAAACACCAGUGGCGAAGGCGGCUUACUGGACUGUAACUGACGUUGAGGCUCGAAAGCGUGGGGAGCAAACAGGAUUAGAUACCCUGGUA
Molecule: ribosomal RNA, 433 nt
Filed under: uncultured Lachnospiraceae bacterium
Lineage: Bacteria; Bacillati; Bacillota; Clostridia; Lachnospirales; Lachnospiraceae
Description: partial 16S ribosomal RNA
Rfam family: Bacterial small subunit ribosomal RNA
Source: RNAcentral